GAAAUGGGAUGAGUAGUGUGAAUUGCAGAAUUCCGUGAAUCAUCGAAUAUUUGAACGCACAUUGCGCCCUCUGGUAGGUCCAUUGGACAUGCCUGUUCGAGCGUCUGUUCCCCCCUAUCUCAAGCACUGCUUGGUGAUGGGCUCUUGUCCCGCCCUGCUGCUCGCGGACUGGCCUCAAAACCAUUGGCGGCCGGCAUCCGUUUUUCGCACGCAGUAUACCGCGCGAGUGGAAUUAGGAAGCCCGGCGUCCACAAAAAGGACCCCCAAGAUUGACCUCGGAUCAGGUAGGGAUACCCGCUGAACUUAA
Molecule: unclassified non-coding RNA, 307 nt
Filed under: uncultured Sporormiaceae
Lineage: Eukaryota; Fungi; Ascomycota; Dothideomycetes; Pleosporales; Sporormiaceae
Description: sequence contains ITS1
Rfam family: 5.8S ribosomal RNA (bases 1-106)
Source: RNAcentral